RNAcentral lists this ribosomal RNA (300 nucleotides) under uncultured Acidilobus sp. Its description in RNAcentral is "bacterial SSU rRNA". The stretch from base 55 to 300 matches the Rfam family "Bacterial small subunit ribosomal RNA", at positions 550 to 795 of the family's 1533-position model. The record is from RNAcentral. Lineage: Archaea; Thermoproteati; Thermoproteota; Thermoprotei; Acidilobales; Acidilobaceae.
GCUGUCGUUGGGCCGGCUGCGGUGGGAAUAAGGGGGGGGCGGGGGUGGGCCGGGAUCACCGUGGGUUAGGUGCGCGGAGGCGGCUUUGCAAGCGUGGGGUGAAAGCUCGGGGCUGAACUCGGGGUCUGCCGUGCGAACUGUGAGGCUUGAGUCUGGUAGAGGUCGAUGGAAGUCCGGGUGUAGCGGUGGAAUGCGUAGAGAUCCGGAAGAACACCGGUGGCGAAGGCGGUAGACUGGGCCAGUACUGACGCUGAGGCGCGACAGCGUGGGGAGCAAACAGGAUUAGAUACCCGGGUAGUC